GAUGAACGCUGGCGGCGUGCUUAACACAUGCAAGUCGAACGAUGAAGCCCAGCUUGCUGGGUGGAUUAGUGGCGAACGGGUGAGUAACACGUGAGUAACCUGCCCUUGACUCUGGGAUAAGCCCGGGAAACUGGGUCUAAUACCUGAUAGGAGCGCCUGUCGCCUGACGGGUGCUGGAAAGAUUUUUCGGUCAUGGAUGGACUCGCGGCCUAUCAGCUUGUUGGUGAGGUAAUGGCUCACCAAGGCGACGACGGGUAGCCGGCCCGGGAGGGUGACCGGCCACACUGGGACUGAGACACGGCCCAGACUCCUACGGGCGGCAGCAGUGGGGAAUAUUGCACAAUGGGCGGAAGCCUGAUGCAGCGGCGCCGCGUGCGGGAUGACGGCCUUCGGGUUGUAAACCUCUUUCAGUAGGGAAGAAGCGAAAGUGACGGUACCUGCAGAAGAAGCACCGGCUAACUACGUG
Molecule: ribosomal RNA, 466 nt
Filed under: uncultured bacterium
Lineage: Bacteria
Description: partial 16S ribosomal RNA
Rfam family: Bacterial small subunit ribosomal RNA
Source: RNAcentral